UAGUCCAUGCCGUAAACGAUGAUUACUCGAUGUUGGUUCGCCAGUGUCUAAGCGAAAGUUAUAAGUAAUCCACCUGGGGAGUACGAUCGCAAGAUUGAAACUCAAAGGAAUUGACGGGGGCCCGCACAAGCGGUGGAGCAUGUGGUUUAAUUCGAUGAUACGCGAGGAACCUUACCUAGGCUUAAAUGUUAUAUGACAGCUUGUGAAAGCAAGUUUCCCUUGUGGCAUAUAAUAAGGUGCUGCAUGGUUGUCGUCAGCUCGUGCUGUGAGGUGUCGGGUUAAGUCCCGCAACGAGCGCAACCCUCAUUUUUAGUUGCCUUAUGGAACUCUAAAAAGACUGCCGGUUAUAAACCGGAGGAAGGCGGGGACGACGUCAAGUCAGCAUGCCCCUUACACCCUGGGCUACACACGUGCUACAAUGGACGAGACAAUGAGAUGCAAAUCUGCGAAGGCUAGCUAAUCUAUAAACUCGUUCUAAGUUCGGAUUGCAGGCUGCAACUCG
This 502-nucleotide ribosomal RNA is filed under the name uncultured bacterium. Its description in RNAcentral is "bacterial SSU rRNA". It matches the Rfam family "Bacterial small subunit ribosomal RNA", at positions 791 to 1314 of the family's 1533-position model. The record is from RNAcentral.